MicroRNA from Caenorhabditis elegans, 23 nucleotides. The record is from Ensembl. NCBI's taxonomy places the organism in Eukaryota, Metazoa, Nematoda, Chromadorea, Rhabditida, Rhabditidae.
UAUCACAGCCAGCUUUGAUGUGC